Molecule: ribosomal RNA, 229 nt
Filed under: uncultured bacterium
Lineage: Bacteria
Description: partial 16S ribosomal RNA
Rfam family: Bacterial small subunit ribosomal RNA
Source: RNAcentral
UACGGAGGGUGCAAGCGUUGUUCGGAAUUACUGGGCGUAAAGCGCGCGUAGGCGGUUUGUUAAGUCAGAUGUGAAAGCCCAUGGCUCAACCAUGGACGUGCAUUUGAAACUGGCAGACUUGAGUAUUGGAGGGGGUGGUGGAAUUCCCGGUGUAGAGGUGAAAUUCGUAGAUAUCGUGAGGAACACCAGAGGCGAAGGCGACUACCUGGACAAUUACUGACGCUCAGGC